This is a ribosomal RNA of 110 nucleotides. It matches the Rfam family "Bacterial large subunit ribosomal RNA", at positions 2810 to 2925 of the family's 2925-position model.
UUUCCCAGUAUGUAAGACCCCUUGAAGACGACGAGGUAGAUAGGUUGGAGGUGGAAGCACGGCAACGUGUGGAGCUGACCAAUACUAAUCGGUCGAGGGCUUAUCCAAAU